CUGACUGAACCACUGAAUCCACACAUACGCCGACACAUUCGACCGGGUGCCCGGCGGCUGCGCAGCAAUCGGGUUGUCGGAUGCGGGCGUAUGGAGGCUCAAC
Molecule: small RNA, 103 nt
Filed under: Halorhodospira halophila SL1
Lineage: Bacteria; Pseudomonadati; Pseudomonadota; Gammaproteobacteria; Chromatiales; Ectothiorhodospiraceae
Description: t44 RNA
Rfam family: t44 RNA
About the family: This family consists of a number of bacterial RNA genes of between 135 and 170 bases in length. The t44 gene is found between the map and rpsB genes in all species in the full alignment apart from Shigella flexneri.
Source: Rfam by way of RNAcentral